This 49-nucleotide small RNA is filed under the name Lacticaseibacillus paracasei. Its description in RNAcentral is "Lactobacillus paracasei TB11Cs2H1". The record is from RNAcentral. Lineage: Bacteria; Bacillati; Bacillota; Bacilli; Lactobacillales; Lactobacillaceae.
UGUGCGCUCUUGUAUAAUUAGAAGGUAAUAAAAAAAGAGCGCGUGAAUG